GGGAAAAUCAAAAUUACUAAGGAACUUCGAACAAAUGUAUAAAAAAAAAGUUCAUAGGGGAUAUAACACUCUUACCCCCCCUCCUGCGAGUAUGUCCCUGCCGAGAAGCGUAUACCAGAUAGUACUAAUGUUUAAUACUAAACUACAUCGGCAUGCGAGCGACCUAUGAAUUUGUUCAACAAUAUUAUAUCAACAUUAACGGGCAUAUCCCGAAAAUUAGGUUAUUCGAC
Molecule: non-coding RNA, 230 nt
Organism: Cinara cedri
Lineage: Eukaryota; Metazoa; Arthropoda; Insecta; Hemiptera; Aphididae
Source: the annotation of a GenBank genome assembly